CGAGUCGACUCCCGUAAAUGUGCGAGUCGACUCCCCCUUACGAGCCGACUCUGAAACUUACUCGAGUCGUCUCGAACUCUGGCACGCACCUAAAAUCAUGCUAUGUUCGUGCCGAAUGAGGGAAAAUCACUAAGUUAUGAUCUGAUUUGAUGAUUAUUGAAAAGAAACUCUAUAUUAACCACAAUCUAAUCAUCAAAAUCAAUGAACUAGUGGAAAAUACCACUAGGAUGGAUCAAUCACUCCUAA
This 246-nucleotide long non-coding RNA is filed under the name Phoenix dactylifera (date palm). RNAcentral's name for it is "long non-coding RNA (PDAC_LNC013166)". The record is from RNAcentral. Lineage: Eukaryota; Viridiplantae; Streptophyta; Magnoliopsida; Arecales; Arecaceae.